Oryzias melastigma (Indian medaka) is the source of this 531-nucleotide non-coding RNA. Lineage: Eukaryota; Metazoa; Chordata; Actinopteri; Beloniformes; Adrianichthyidae. The record is from the annotation of a RefSeq genome assembly.
GUCAGAAAGAGCUCAGUGAGUUCAUCUUCAGCAUCAACCAUGUUCUCUGCAGCUCUGAUGCUGCUGCUGACAGCUGGAUCCUGUGUGGACAGUAUUGAUCUCAUCCAGCCAGACUCAAAGGUUGUUCAGCCUGGACAGUCUUUGACCAUCAGCUGUCAGGUUUCUGGAUAUCCACUGACCGAUGACAGCUAUGGAUCAGGCUGGGUCAGACAGCCAAAAGGAAAACCAAUGGACUGGAUUGUUCAUCAGUGGGGUGGAGGGACCUUAAAACAAAAUGAAGCUCUGAAAAACAAGUUCAGCUUCAGCAGAGACACUUCCACAGGAACAGUAACAAUAACAGGACAGAAUCUGCAGCCUGAAGACACAGCUGUGUAUUACUGUGUGAGGGUGCACCACAGUGAUACAAACCUGUACAAAAACUCAACAGCUAUGAAGACAACUUAAGUGUUUAAUUUAUAAUGUAAGGAGUGUCAAACUCAAUCGCACAGGAGGCCAAAAUUUAAAUAACAUAAAAAAACUUAAUUUAAUAAU